CCGGGCUUUUUAAUCAUAGUUCUUGAUGAUCAUUAAUCAGUGUCCACAAGAUUAGAAGAUGUAUCAGUCCUCAAAUUUUUUGCAUUUAAAGAGUUCAUGCUUAUGCAUUUUAAUUUUGCACAAAGCUUUGUGUGUUUACUUUCCCUUUGAUGAGUUGAAUGCAAUGUCCAUUCUUCAAAACACCAAGCAAUUUUUUUUGCCAUUUUCAAAGCUGAAAAAGCUUC
RNAcentral lists this long non-coding RNA (224 nucleotides) under Elaeis guineensis (African oil palm). Its description in RNAcentral is "long non-coding RNA (EGUI_LNC060981)". Lineage: Eukaryota; Viridiplantae; Streptophyta; Magnoliopsida; Arecales; Arecaceae. The record is from RNAcentral.